This 466-nucleotide ribosomal RNA is filed under the name uncultured bacterium. RNAcentral describes it as "bacterial SSU rRNA". It matches the Rfam family "Bacterial small subunit ribosomal RNA", at positions 329 to 793 of the family's 1533-position model. The record is from RNAcentral.
ACUGACACUCCUACGGGAGGCAGCAGUAAGGAAUAUUGGACAAUGGACGCAAGUCUGAUCCAGCCAUCCCGCGUGCAGGAAUAAUGCCCUAUGGGUUGUAAACUGCUUUAGCUAGGGAAUAAAGGUCGUUAUUUAUAAUGAUUUGAAGGUACCUAGAGAAUAAGCACCGGCUAACUCCGUGCCAGCAGCCGCGGUAAUACGGAGGGUGCGAGCGUUAAUCGGAAUUACUGGGCGUAAAGCGCAUGCAGGUGGUUUGUUAAGUCAGAUGUGAAAGCCCGGGGCUCAACCUCGGAAUUGCAUUUGAAACUGGCAGACUAGAGUACUGUAGAGGGGGUAGAAUUUCAGGUGUAGCGGUGAAAUGCGUAGAGAUCUGAAGGAAUACCGGUGGCGAAGGCGGCCCCCUGGACAGAUACUGACACUCAGAUGCGAAAGCGUGGGGAGCAAACAGGAUUAGAUACCCUGGUAG